GUCACUCCUCAAGUAGUCUCUCCAAAGGAGGAAUGUCUGACGUGCUAAACUAUAAACCAGGUUCUUCCCAAAGUUAGUUCGGCUUACACCCAGGAAUGAGCAAGGACAGCUUGGAGGUUAAAAGCAAGAUACAGUCAGUCAUCUUCUUCAGGGUAACCUCAAAUGUUCCAAGGUCUUACACCUACUCAUCAUAUUCAGGGAACUGAGACUCCACACACCUCACUUUGAGGCUGGAAUAUGCUGAAACUGCCUCCACAAACUCAUUAUUCUGGACCAAGACUUACAGCCUAAAGUGAAGGACAUUUCCAAAGAAAUUUUCUCCUCACUGAUGCCUCUCCUGCUGCAAUGCAAUGACCCUGGCUAUGUACAAGACAUACUUUGGCUUGCUCCUGGGAAACCUUUGCUCUGUAAAGAGCACUGAGCUGUUGCUACCAUUGCUGGCUUCAAGCACUUUGUCCCCAUUCAUUUCCAAGGUCAGACCUAAUGCCAAGACUUUGUUGAAGGAGAAGUGGGGAGUCUCAGCUACUGCUGCCAGAAAGGCAGAUGUUUUCAUUGUUUGCUGCAACUUGUUUGUCUUAUAGUGGUUUCUCAAGAUAUCCAGGAAGGAAGAAAAACAAAUACCUCACCCUGCCCUAGGAAAGUGACAGACUGUGAUGACACUUCCAUCACAAAACAGGCCUGGACUCUGAAGCAAGUGUCUCCUCUAACACACCCAUGUUAAAACCAGUCUAAGUUUCGCCUUCUCAGGCAUACUUCCACUACAUUGUGUUUACAAUGUUUUUUUUUCUCUAUUAUUAUUUUACUUAUUAUUUUUUUGAGAUGGAGUCUCACUCUGUUACCCAGGCUGGAGAGCAGUGGCGCUAUCUCGGCUCACUGCAAGCUCCGCCUCCCAGGUUCACGCCAUUCUCCUGCCUCAGCCUCCUGAGUAGCUGGUACUACAGGCACCCGCCACCACGCCUGGCUAAUUUUUUGUAUUUUUAGUAGAGAUGGGGUUUCACCAUGUUAGCCAGAAUGGUCUCGAUCUCCUGACCUCGUGAUCCACCCAACUCGGCCUCCCAAAGUGCUGGGAUUACAGGCGUGAGCCACCGCGCCUGGCCUUAAAAUAUUUUAAUACACAUUUUCAUUUAUUGGAGAAAUGUGUCAUUGCUUAAGUUGUUCUGUUUAAACAAUGUGAUACAGGUCUCAUUUAAUUUAGAAAGUUUAUUUUGCCAAGGUUGAGGAUGCACGCCUGUGACACAGCCUCAGGAGGUUCUGACAACAUGUGUCCAAGGCGGUCAGAGCAUAGUUUGGUUUUAUACAUUUUAGGGAGACAUGAGAUGUCAAUCAACAUAUGUAAGAUGAACAUUGGUUCAAUCUGGAAAGGUGGGCAACUUUAAGCAAAGGCAGGAAGACUUGAAGUCAUGAGGGGCCUUCCAGGUCAUAGGCAGAUAAGAGAAAAAUGAUUGUAUUAUUUUGAGUUUCUGAUUAGCCUCUCCAAAGGAGGCAAUCAAUUAUCUCAGUGAGCAGAGGGGUGACUUUGAAUAGAAUGGGAGGCAAGUUUGCCCUAAGCAGUUCCCACUUGACUUUUCCCUUUAGCUUAGUGAUUUGGGGGCCCCAAGCUUUAUUUUCCUUUCACACUCCUAGGUACAGUGCCUAGUCAGGAAAAAAAAAAAAAAAAAAAGCCCCAAAACUAUAAAGUCACAGUGACAGUCACAAACAUAAUUUUCCCACGGUGCUCUGCAUCCCACUUUAUAAUGACCACUGCGCACUCUAAUGUUAGUCUUGCAUCACCUGAAACUUCUUUACCCUAGGUGCUAUGGGUUUAUGAGAACAUAAAUGAUACAUAGUUAUAGAAUCACAAGCUGAAUAGACUCCAACAUUGUCUACCAUGAAAGAAACAUUUAUUCUCCACCUUAUGCCAUGCCACUACUUUUGUUUGGACCUAUUGAGGUACAUUUAUUUUAUUGGAUUUUAAUGAGCUUGGGACACUGAGAAUGCAUGUCAAGAAGUAGAAGGGAGGAAAGAAAAGAAAAGUAAUGUUAUGGUCUGCUGUGCUUUCUUACUUAAUACCGAAAAAAAUGCAAAGAAUAAUUCACAGAUGAGGACAUUGGGAUAUGAAAAGUGAUAGCUCUGUGAUCACAUAGUUAGUACAUUGCAGAUCUUGGAUUUUAACUGAUGUUUUACAUGACUUAGAAACCCUUCAUAUUAUUUACACUACUUAUUUCUAUCCUGCCAAAUGUCUCUGUUAAUAUCCAGACUCUUUUUUGGAUUAAAACUCUGAAUUAUCUUUCUGAUCUGUAUCAUUUAAAUCACAAAUACUUAGUAUGAACACCAUAAGUGCUAAAGCAUUAAAAAGUCAUUAAACAACCUCAAAUUAAUAAGGCACUUUAGUGUUUGAAAAUUCUUGUACAUAUAUUACCUCUUGUCCUUUCUUUAAUAGCAGUAUAAGAUGAAUAUUUUUAUGUCAUCUCUUUUUUAAAAAUUAGGAGGCCAGUGUCUAGGGAGAUAAUUUGUGAGAGAGAGCAUGAUGACGGUGGAGCCAGAAUGUGAACUUGGGUCGUCUGACUCCAAGUCCAGAAUAGCUGCAUUGCUCUACUACAUUCAGUGUUUUGUUGAGGAAACAUCUGUAGCCUUGCUUUCCUGGGGUACAGCAUCAGGGGAAGGACAACAAAGAGUAUACAUGCAUUCUCAGUAAUGUUCAACAGUGGUUUCCUUCCACUAACGACUUAACAGAGUUCUCUCUUCUUAAUUUCCUUCCUUUUCUCCAGUGAGAGUCUAGAAGUCAUUUAUAUUCACUAUGUCAAGUGUUUGAGCUUAAUUUUCUUAGGUAUAUUUUGCUGCUCUCUCUUUACUUUCUUAUGGACUCAUUCAAUGAGAAAUUCAAACACAGUCAAACUAUCAAAGGCAUUCAAACCAGAGCAAUUCCAUGUUGAGUGAGGGAUAGGAAAAAUGAAGCUGGAGCUUGCUGGGCUGCAUUCCCAGAAAGUUAGGUAUUUCCAACCUCUAGAUGUUUACAGUUAAGGGAACAGAUUUAUAAUGUUUACUAAUCAGACUCAGACUUGGGAGUAUCCUGAUAUCCCGAUAUCUUUUUUUUUUUUUUUUUUGAGAUGGAGUCUCAUUCUGUCGCCCAGGUUGUAGUGCAGUGGUGGGAUCUCUGCUCACUGCAACCUCUGCCUCCCUGGUUCAAGCAAUUCUCCUGCCUCAGCCUCCCGAGUAGCUGGGACUAUAGGUGUGCACCACCACGCCUGGCUAAUUAUCGUAUUUUUAGUAGAGACGGGGUUUCACCAUGUUGACCAGGCUGGUCUUGAACUCCUGAUCACAGGUAAUCCUCCACCUUGACCUCCCAAAGUGCUGGGAUUACAGAUGUGAGCCACCGUGCCCGGUCAAUAUCCCAAUAUCUUCAGACAGAAGCGUUCUUAAUUUUGCUUUAAAGAUAAUAUUGAUUGUUGCAAAAUAUAGUAAUUAAAAAAUCCUGUAUCACAAACCCUUGCAACAGAGCAUGUCUCCUCAUCAUCUUUUUUUAUCCUAUAUAUAAGCAAGUAUUGUAUCUAGGGUGGAUGCAUUCUCUUACUUUCGGGAACAUCCUACUCUGCCUACGGAGUAGGAUGUUUUUUCACCACUUUACUUUCUUAAUAAACUUCUUUUUGCUUUGCACUGUGGAUUUGCCCUGAAUUCUUUCUGGCAUGAGAUCCAAGAACACUCUCUUGGAGUCUGGAUCGGGACUCCUUUCCUGCAACAAAACCAUGUGCAGUGUGAGUGCAGGAACAUUGCCGCUGCUUGGAGAAUUGCUGAGCCUAACUGUUGCAAAAACAAAUUCUGCUGGCUGCCAUCAUUGUCAAAGUGGGGAAGGCUCUCUGUCUACUCACACAUGCAUAUUGGAGCUCUUGCUCUACUUGGCUUACCUCUUCUAUUUUCUUAGUUUUCUUGCAACAUUAUGCAUGUCUAAAUUCCUUUCCUUAUUAGCAAAUGGAGAACUUUGCUCUUGGCUGGGGCGCUGAGUCUGAUAGUUACAUGGAGUUUCACAAAAGAAUAGGCUGCAGGGCAAAGGGGAAACUGAAGGCAUAAUCUUGGGGGAAAGUGGAGUUGAAAGUCAAGGUGUCCAAAUAAAGAAUCCCUUCAAAGGUCAGGGAAUGAGUCAGGAGAGAAAACUAUUUAUUAACAUAUUUUAACAAGCAUCUUGUUAAACUAUUUUUUCAUUUACCUCUCCUGACUUCUGCGGGUAUGUGAAAUUGCAACUCCCACUUUAGAGACAUAAACAAGUUUUGUUUUCAUUCCUUUCCUUUUCACUUAGGAAUCUCAACUUCAGUAUUAUAAAACUUACAUUAAUCCUAAAGUAAUUCCUGCCCUUCUUCCCAGAUUCCUGAGGACCCUAUUUGGCUCUUAGAACCAUUACCAUGUUUCUAAACGUUGAACUGCAUCUCAUGAGGCAGCACACAAUUAAUUUCCAAAUGUGUAUCAAAAAUUUCAAGUUAGGAGACUGAGUUAGAAAUGAUUGAUUUUUUUAAAAAGGAAAAACAGAGCUUUUUUCUUUUCUUUUCAUAACUUUGGUAAAUCUAAAAUUACAUUGUUUGGGGCCAUGAAUGUUUAUUAUGUAACACUUGGUUUUGGGGGCAUGAAAAUCUAUUGUAUAACACUUGGCAUGCUUAUUUAAACAAUUUGGUUGAUAUAUUUAGGAUAUAAUAUAUGUUCGUCUUGUCUAAAAAAAUAUGGAGAAAGGAAGUCCCUCCACCUUGCCAUCUCCUAUCUAGGUGACUUUGAGUAUGGUGAUGACAUUAUAGAUACCACACCGAAACCAUGAUUCAUUAAAACUAAUUCAUAAGCCAGACUUCAUUAGAAUUAAAGGUUUCUGCUCUGUCGAGGCCACUAACAAAGAAUAAGAAGAUGACCCCAUAGACUGGGAGAAAAUAUUUGCAAAACACAUAUCUGAUAAAAAAAAAAGACUGUUAUCCAAAAUAUACCCACCCCCUGAAAAAACCCUCUUAAAACUCAACAGUAAGAAAGUGAACAACCAGAUUGGUUGCCCACAACAAAUGGGCAAAAGAUCUGAACAGACAUCUCACCAAAAAAGAUACAGAUGACUAAUAAGCACAUAAAAAGAUGUUCACCAUCGUAUAUUAUCAGGGAAAUGUGACUCAAAAUGAUGAGAUACCUCUAUACACCUAUUUAAAUGGCAAAAAUUCAAAACAGUGAGAACACCAAAUGCUGGUGAGAAUGUGGAGCAACCGGGACUCUCUUUUAUUGCAGAUGGCAAUGAAAAAUUGUGUAGCCACCUUGGAAGACAGUUUGGUAGUUUCUUCUGAACAUAUAAUUCAAAAAUCAUGCUCCUUGGAAUUUUCUCAUAUUAGUUAGAAACACAUCCAUACAAAAAUCUGCAUGCAGAUAUCUAUAGCAGCUAAAUUAAUAAUUACCAAAAUGUGGAAGAAACCAAGAUGUCCUUCAAUAGGUGAAUGAAUAAGUAAACUGCGGUAUAUCCAUUCAAUGGAAUAUUAUUCACCAUUAAAAAGAAAUGCACUGUCACACAGUGAAAAUUACCAUGUGAAGCAAGCCAAUCUAAAAAAGCUACAAACUUUAUGGUUCCAACUACGUAACAUUCUGCAACAGGCACAACUAUGAAGACAGUAAAAAGAUCAGUGGUUGUCUGGGGUUAGGGAAGAAGAGGGAAUGAAUCAGCAGAGCACAGAGAACUUUCAGGGCAGUGAUACUAUUCUGCAUAAUACUGUAAUGAUGGCUACAUGUUAUGAUACAUUUGCAAAGCUUAUAGAACGUGCAACACCAAGGGUGAACCCUAAUGUAUAGUAUGAACUUUGGGUGACAAUGAUAUGUCAAUGUCAUAUGGAGUUUCAUUAUAACAAAUAUAGUGCUCUUACGUGGGAUAUUGCUAGUGGGGGAAGCUAUGAGUAUGUGGGGGCAGGGAGUAUGUGGAAAAUCAGUGUACCUUCUGCUCAGCUUUGCUAUAAACCUAAAACUAAAAAAUAAAAUCUAUUUUAAAACCUAAAAAACAAAAUCUAUUAAAAAAUAGGAUUAGACAUUUGCGUAACCUGAAGUGCCUCUAAGAAAUCUUAGAGUCAUCUGAAAGAGUUUGGUACCCACCAAGUGAAACUGUCGUUCAUUUCAUAACUAAUAAUAUCAUUGAAAACCACAAUACAAUCAAAAUAAAUUGAAGACACACCUCUUGAGAAACUUUACUAAAUCUUCGCAAACAUAUUCUUUCCAUUCCUAAAUGUAACCUUAUGGGUCAACUAUUAUUUUUAAGUUAACCUUCUUUAUCUAUAAGAAGGCUUUUAAAACUCAUUUACAUAUAAGGAAACAGAUGUACAAAGAAGAUCAGUGGGUUGCUCAAGGUCACAGAGCUAGUAAGAGAAGAGACAGCGUCAAUCCUAGGCUCUUGCGUGACACCCUGGAACUCCCUUAUCCUGAUCUCUUUCUUUGGGCAAGACCUAUGACACCCCGCAUGAGGAAAAAGAACUAAGUACACUCAGUGAAGCUGUGCCUUUGGAUGACUGCAUUGUGAGCUUUCCAGAGACUGCCAGUUCCUCUGCCUUGGGUUCUGAAGGGCACCAGCCAGGCCUCUCCUGAGUAGGAGGCUAACACAAGUCUGGCUCUGUCCAGGAAGGUCCUCUGUGCCCCAUGGGUGGACUAAAAUGAAGAAUGCUGAAGAAGCCACUGAAAUGACAGGGAAGGUUCAUAUUUCAAGCAGAAAAUACAGCAAAUGUGAAAGCCUUGAGUUGGGAACAAGCAGAUGCCUGUGGCCAGGCAGGAGAAGGAGCCCCCAGGAACCACCAGUGGCAGGGCAGAGGUGUACAUAGUUUACAUUUUAUUCCACUGAAACAUUUCCUCCUUAUCAUUUCUUUUCAUUCCUGCGUAUGUGUUGACCUCAACUCAGAUGGAAGCCUUGCAGCUGAAGGCAGAAGAGGGGAGGAGGCCUUACAUGGUACCACUGACUGUCAGGAAAUGAGCAUAUUUGGUUAACAAGAGAGGGAUGAGGAGAGAGAAACAAUUGAGUUCUGUUUCCUGAGUGACAGAGCUAGCACCAGGCUCUGCUGAAGAAAGCACAAACAAAAGCUUUAUUUGUUUCCCAGCAGCAGUGCCCACUAAGGCCUCUCCACAGAAAAGAGAUCUGAAGAAGAAGCCAAUGAGAUUUAUUUUUACCAUACCGAGUAUGUGUGUUGAAAGUGAGAGGCAUCUGGGGGAGUUACUUUUUAGCUGCCUCUUACAUAGCUUCCCAGCUAAGGAGUUUUGGCAUCUACCUCCUUAGGAAUUCCUACUUUAUCCUUCAUGCUUCAAGACUAAAGCUCUUGCAGUUCCCCGAACAAUGUUAUCCCUCUCUUCUACUCAGUCUCAAUCUGUUUUGGCUCACGUUUUCAGAUUCUUUAUUUUUGACCUCAGCAUUACUUUCAUCAGAAAGAUUUUUUGGCUCUGUCCCAGGGUGACAUCAAUUGGGCUUUUUUGGAAAAGAUUCAUAGAGGCUUUUGUGUGCAGAAAACAAUACUUACAGUACUCUGUGUUGUCACUGACACUCAUUCAACUACAAUUAUAAACGGAAAACUUUGCUUUUCUUAAGGUUUUAAACAUAAUUGAAAAACAUUUGGUAUUAAUCUAUAAAUGUAAACAUUUUUCAGUUAAAUUAAGCACGGUUUGUCCUUGGUUAUUGUUUGGUUGGCAUAUAUAUAUAUAUAUAUAUAUAUAUAUAUAUGUAUGUAUGUAUUUCACGAACAAAAUGUAUAUAAAUCUUUAGGUACUAUAUAUAAGCUUAAAUUAUUUCAUAUUUUAAAUAUACAGUUGACUCUUGAAAAAGGCAGAUGUUAAGGACAUUGUCUCCCUUCACAGUAAAAAAUCUACAUAUAACUUGACUCUCCAGAAACUUAACUACUAAUAGACUACUGCUGACUGGAAGAAUUACUGAUAAUAUAAACACUCAAUUAACACAUAUUUUAUAUAUUAUGUGUAUUAUAUACUGUAUUCUUACAAUAAAGUAAGAUAGAGAAAAGAAAUGUUAUUAAGCUAUUCCUAAGAGAAAAUAUAUUUACUAUUCAUUAAGUGGAUCAUCAUAAAGGUCUUCAUCCUUGUCAUCUUCACACUGAGUAGGUUGAGAAAGAGAGGAAAGAGGAAGGGUUGGUCUUGCUGUCUCAGGGGUGGCAGAACUGAAAGAGGUGGAAGAGGUGGAAGGAGGAGUGGCAGGCACAGUGGUGUAGCUUUACAGAAAUACAUGAUUUCUGUCUGCCUUUUUUGCUUUUUCAUUUCUCCAAAGAUAAUACCAUACAGUACCAAUCCUUCCACCAUUUGCUUUAAUUUCAGUUCUUGUAUCAUAGAAGACUCCAUGUUGUACAAAAAGUCAGAAGCAGUGUUAAAUAAUUGUAACCCUUCUGCCAGAUUGUCUAAUGUCAAUUUGUUUUCUGGCACUGCUUCUCCUAUGUACUCUUCCUCACUAUCUCACACUGGUUUGGAAGUCCUUAUCUCCAUCAAGUUUUCUUCUGUUAAUUCUUCUGAUGUGGUGCCUAUGCGUUCUUGAACUUCUUCAUGAUUCAUAUCUUGAAACCUCUCAUCCCUGCACCAUUUUUGCCAUAUCCACAAUCUCUUUCAAGAUUCCUUUGACUGGUCCUGCCACAAAUCCUGUGAAAUCAUGCACAACACCUGGACACAGUUUUCUCCAGCAAAAUUUAUUUGUUUGGGCCUGAUUGCUUUCACAGCAUUUUCUGUAACAACGAUGGCAUCUUCAAUGGGGUAAUCUUCCAAACUUUCAUGAUGUGCUCUCUAUUGGGAUUCUCCUCCAUAGUGCUGACAAUCAUUCCAUAGACUACCGUGAAUAAUGAGCCUUAAAGGUCCUUAUGAUCCCCCGAUCUCCGCUGAAUUACAGAUGCUGAGUUUGUGGCCAAAUAGACCACUUUGAUGCCUUUGGUGUAGAACUCGUAGAGUUCUAGGUGGCCAGGGACAUUGUCCAAUAUCAAAAUAACUUUAUAAAAAAGCCCUUUACUGGCAAAGUACUUCCCAAUUUCAGGAACAAAGCAUUGAUAGAACCAAUCAGAAAAAGAGUUCUCAUUUUCUGGGCCUUCUUGUUGUAAUACAGCCAAGAGACUGACAGCUGGUGUUUUAUUUUCCUUCAAGGUUUGGGUGUUAGUAGCUUUAUAGAUAGGGACAGCCCUGAUCACAAACCCAACUGCUUUUGCACAAAACAAUAGCAUUAGCCUAUCCCUUCCUGCCUUAAAUCCUGGUGCUUGCUUUUCUUCCUUACUAGUAAAUAUCUUUUGUGGCAUUUCUCCCCCACCCCCCAAAAUGGGGCACUUUCAUCUGCAAUAAAAAUCUCUUCAGGAAAAUGUCCUUUAUCCUCAAUGGGUUUCUUAAUGGUGUGUGGAAAUUUGCUGCCUCUUGGUUGGCAAAAGCUGCUUUUCUUGUUAUCUUGUCAUUUUUUAAGCCACACUUCUUUCUAAAAUUAUCAAACUAUCCUUUCUGGCAUUAAGUUCUCCAGAUUUAGAUCUUUCACCUUCCUUUUGCUUUAAGUUAUCAUAUAGUGACUUUGCUUUUUCUUGAAUCAUGUUAGAGUGUAUAAGUAUGCCUUUCUUAUAGCAAUCCUGCACCCACAUAAAAGGUGCAUUUUCAAUAUGACAUAAAAAGGUAUUUUGCAAAAAGUGCGAAGUCUUGGUACUUCCUGGCCUAGCUGUAGUGAUGGCUUCAUAUCUUCUCUUUUCUUCUCUUUUUUUUCUUUUCUUUUCCAAUGAGCCUUAUACUAGAUUCAUUUAUCCUGAAGUGACAGGAAACUUCAGCUGCAGACCCCAAUCUAUGGGACCUAUCAAACAAUUCACCUUUUUUUGGUAAUGUCGUGACUCUUCUCUGUUUCUUGGGAGCACUUCCAGCAGCACUACUGACUCUUUGUAUGGGUCCCAUGGUGUUAUUGAAGGUUUAUGAUAUUGCACUGAAAAAUGAGUGAGAACUUCAAAAGGUCACUUUUUACUGGGAUACGCAAUUUAUGGAUGAGACAAACUGCUCACUUGGAGGUGAUUAGCAUCACAUGACAUUUCAAGCAGAUACAAUGCUUGAGCUCACUGCAAUAGCAAUGAGAGGUGGCUACAAAAGUAUUACAGAAGUACCACAUGUACUAUAAUUAAUUAUAGUUUUUAUGCAGUUAUUAUUUUGAUAGUACAUCUCAAUUUAUUUACAUUUUUCUCAACUGAGAAUGGUGCCAUGUAGUCUUUAAGUGUCUGUAUGUGUAAGUGUAGACAAACUAACUUUUUAUAAUAGAUUUUUGUACAUCUUAUAGAGUAAAUAAGAAAAUAGACUAGUAUCAAUAUGUUUUAUGCAUUCAUGGCGUACCUUUUUCUUAAUCUUUUUGCUAUUUCUAGGCAUGAUUUAUCUGUGAAUAUUUAAACAUUGUCAGACAUCUCCAAAAAUUUUUCUAAUACACUUAUUGAAAAAAAAAAUCCAUGUAUAGGUGAACCCUUGCAAUUGAAAUCCAUGUUGUUCAAAGGUCAAUGGUAUAUAAUUCAAGAAAUGGAAGUCUAAGUCCAAUAAUAUGAUUGUUUCUAAAUAGUUAAACAUAUUUUAUGUACUUGGUUAAUUAUAUUCCUAUAAAUGUUUCCAGCUAUGGUCACAAUUUCAUAUAAUGGAUUUUCUCAAGAACUUUAAGCACCUAAAAGAGCAGAUUACAAAUCCCAUAAAGAAAUCCUUUCUAUACACAUAAGUAAUUGGGAUAAGUCAAAUAAUAAAAUUACACAUUUCCAUAUGGUUCUCUUAAGCAUUUAAACAUCAUAAAACUUGCCCUCAUAUAUUUAGUAAAUCAGGUUAACUAUUUAAAAUUAAUUGCAAGCAUACCUUUUUUUUUUUUUUUUUAG
This 10802-nucleotide long non-coding RNA is filed under the name Homo sapiens (human). Its description in RNAcentral is "non-protein coding lnc-SLC9C1-2:1". The record is from RNAcentral. Lineage: Eukaryota; Metazoa; Chordata; Mammalia; Primates; Hominidae.